ACCCUUUAAUGUUUGAUGUUCUAACGUGGACCCGUGAUCCGGGUUGCGGACAGUGUCUGGUGGGUAGUUUGACUGGGGCGGUCUCCUCCUAAAGAGUAACGGAGGAGCACGAAGGUUGGCUAAUCCUGGUCGGACAUCAGGAGGUUAGUGCAAUGGCAUAAGCCAGCUUGACUGCGAGCGUGACGGCGCGAGCAGGUGCGAAAGCAGGUCAUAGUGAUCCGGUGGUUCUGAAUGGAAGGGCCAUCGCUCAACGGAUAAAAGGUACUCCGGGGAUAACAGGCUGAUACCGCCCAAGAGUUCAUAUCGACGGCGGUGUUUGGCACCUCGAUGUCGGCUCAUCACAUCCUGGGGCUGAAGUAGGUCCCAAGGGUAUGGCUGUUCGCCAUUUAAAGUGGUACGCGAGCUGGGUUUAGAACGUCGUGAGACAGUUCGGUCCCUAUCUGCCGUGGGCGCUGGAGAACUGAGGGGGGCUGCUCCUAGUACGAGAGGACCGGAGUGGACGCAUCACUGGUGUUCGGGUUGUCAUGCCAAUGGCACUGCCCGGUAGCUAAAUGCGGAAGAGAUAAGUGCUGAAAGCAUCUAAGCACGAAACUUGCCCCGAGAUGAGUUCUCCCUGAGACUUAGAGUCUCCUGAAGGAACGUUGAAGGCGACGACGUUGAUAGGCCGGGUGUGUAAGCGCAGCGAUGCGUUGAGCUAACCGGUACUAAUGAACCGUGAGGCUUAACCUUACAACGCCGAAG
Molecule: ribosomal RNA, 741 nt
Filed under: Salmonella enterica subsp. enterica
Lineage: Bacteria; Pseudomonadati; Pseudomonadota; Gammaproteobacteria; Enterobacterales; Enterobacteriaceae
Description: partial 23S ribosomal RNA
Rfam family: Bacterial large subunit ribosomal RNA
Source: RNAcentral